This 72-nucleotide transfer RNA is filed under the name Burkholderia cepacia. Its description in RNAcentral is "tRNA-Asn". It matches the Rfam family "tRNA". From Rfam's summary of the family: Transfer RNA (tRNA) molecules are approximately 80 nucleotides in length. Their secondary structure includes four short double-helical elements and three loops (D, anti-codon, and T loops). Lineage: Bacteria; Pseudomonadati; Pseudomonadota; Betaproteobacteria; Burkholderiales; Burkholderiaceae. The record is from RNAcentral. RNAcentral also lists the same sequence under 2 other names.
UCCCCGAUAGCUCAGUCGGUAGAGCGCCGGACUGUUAAUCCGUAGGUCCCUGGUUCGAGCCCAGGUCGGGGA